This is a non-coding RNA of Mycoemilia scoparia, 83 nucleotides long. NCBI's taxonomy places the organism in Eukaryota, Fungi, Kickxellomycota, Kickxellomycetes, Kickxellales, Kickxellaceae. The record is from the annotation of a GenBank genome assembly.
GGUGAUUUACCCAAGUGGUCAACGGGGUUGGACUUAAGUUCCAAUGCAAUUAUGCUUCGUGGGUUCGAACCCCACAGUCACCA